AUGAGUAUACUAAGCUGGAACUGCCGAGGUGGGGGCAACCCUCGGACAGUUCGAGAUCUUGUGAGUCUGGUUCAGACUCAUUCCCCUAGUAUCGUUUUUCUUUGUGAGACUAGACAGUCUAGAAAUAAAAUGAAAAGAUAUCGUGCUCGGUUAGGUUUAAGUGGUUUUGAUGCCAUAGAUAGUGUUGGUCUAAGUGGUGGUCUUGCUUUGUAUUGGCAUGAGUCUUUG
This 228-nucleotide ribosomal RNA is filed under the name Triticum aestivum (bread wheat). RNAcentral's name for it is "partial small subunit ribosomal RNA". The record is from RNAcentral. Lineage: Eukaryota; Viridiplantae; Streptophyta; Magnoliopsida; Poales; Poaceae.